RNAcentral lists this small nuclear RNA (99 nucleotides) under Tupaia belangeri chinensis (Chinese tree shrew). Lineage: Eukaryota; Metazoa; Chordata; Mammalia; Scandentia; Tupaiidae. The record is from RNAcentral.
UUGCUUUUGUAACAAGUAUACCAAAAUUGGGACAAUACAAAGAAUAUUUGUGUGGCCCCUCUGCGAGGAUGACACACUAAUUUGUGAAGCACAAAUUUU